GGGGAAUUUUGCGCAAUGGGGGAAACCCUGACGCAGCAACGCCGCGUGCGGGAUGAAGGCCCUCGGGUUGUAAACCGCUUUCAGCAGGGAGGAAUCAAGACAGUACCUGCAGAAGAAGCCCCGGCUAAAUACGUGCCAGCAGCCGCGGUAAUACGUAUGGGGCGAGCGUUAUCCGGAUUCAUUGGGCGUAAAGCGCGCGUAGGCGGCUGUGCAAGCGGGUGUCUUAAAUCCGGGGGCUCAACCUCCGGCUGGACCCCGAACUGCACGGCUCGAGUUCGGUAGGGGGGGUCGGAAUUCCCAGUGUAGCGGUGAAAUGCGCAGAUAUUGGGAAGAACACCGAUGGCGAAGGCAGACCACUGGGCCGCAGCUGACGCUGAGGUGCGAAAGCCGGGGGAGCGAACA
RNAcentral lists this ribosomal RNA (402 nucleotides) under uncultured Coriobacteriaceae bacterium. RNAcentral's name for it is "bacterial SSU rRNA". It matches the Rfam family "Bacterial small subunit ribosomal RNA", at positions 356 to 774 of the family's 1533-position model. The record is from RNAcentral. Lineage: Bacteria; Bacillati; Actinomycetota; Coriobacteriia; Coriobacteriales; Coriobacteriaceae.